This 463-nucleotide ribosomal RNA is filed under the name uncultured bacterium. Its description in RNAcentral is "partial 16S ribosomal RNA". It matches the Rfam family "Bacterial small subunit ribosomal RNA", at positions 28 to 507 of the family's 1533-position model. The record is from RNAcentral.
GAUGAACGCUGACAGAAUGCUUAACACAUGCAAGUCUUUGGCGAAGCUGUGCUCGCACAGCCUAGCCAAGGCGGACGGGUGAGUAACGCGUAAGGAACUUGCCCUGCAGUCAGGGAUAACAGACGGAAACGACUGAUAAGACCUGGUAAAGUCAGGCGGACUCAUGUCCAGCCUGAUGAAAAGAGAUGCUGCAGGAGAGCCUUGCGUCCUAUUAGCUUGUUGGUGGGGUAACGGCCCACCAAGGCGAGGAUAGGUAGCCGGCCUGAGAGGGUGGACGGCCACUGGGGGUCUGAGAUACGGCCCUUACUCCUACGGGGGGCAGCAGUGGAGAAUAUUGGAAAAGGGGGACAACCCAGAUCCAGCAAUUCUGCGUGCACGAUGAAGGCUUUCGGAUUGUAAAGUGCUUUCAGCAGGGAAGAAAAAAAUGACGGUACCUGCAGAAGAAGCGACGGCUAAAUACGUG